GGGGUUCGAGCUGUACGCGUACCUCCUCGUGGUGAACCCUGGGCAACGCUCUGACGGAGCGGCUGAAUCGCGUAC
This is a non-coding RNA of Tulasnella calospora, 75 nucleotides long. It matches the Rfam family "HDV ribozyme from F. prausnitzii". The record is from Rfam. Lineage: Eukaryota; Fungi; Basidiomycota; Agaricomycetes; Cantharellales; Tulasnellaceae.